RNAcentral lists this ribosomal RNA (675 nucleotides) under Triticum aestivum (bread wheat). Its description in RNAcentral is "partial small subunit ribosomal RNA". Lineage: Eukaryota; Viridiplantae; Streptophyta; Magnoliopsida; Poales; Poaceae. The record is from RNAcentral.
AUGUGCCAUCAUCAGAGAGAGCUAGUAGCAAAGAAGAUCGAUCGAUUCCCCAGACUGCUAGCAGCAAAGAAGUCCGAGUCCCCGGAGUCAUCAACCAUCGACGGCCAAGCCACCGCCCCGACCAUGAGCGACACCGUUGUCAUCACCGUCGCCGUCGACAACUCUCUCAUCGGCAAGAGCGGCGCCAUCCAAUGGCCAGCCGUCCGCAAGGCAGACACGCCGUCCGCAGACGGGAUUGAGAGCGUAAUGUUCAGGUACAGAUUCAUGGAGGACCAGCCUACAGUGUUCACCGACGUGCAGGGAAGCGAGGCCGGGCCGUGCGCCGGUGGCCGUGCAUCCACCGACACGGUAGACGGUGCAGUCAACUUGCCACGGACAGACGAGGGACCAACCGCCGACGAGUGCGUGCGCACCACCACUGAUGGAGAAGUCCUGCUAUACGCUCGCGGGGGCAGGGACCAUGCCGCCCACAUGUGCCCAGAAGCGCAGCUCAUGGCCAGUAACUCUGAUAUCUUCCUUACUAAUGACGAAGGGCCAGUCGUGCGGCUCCUUCGAUGGGUUGCUGGUAUAUGCGGGGGCAGCGGCCAUGCCGUCCAUGGUUGCCCCGAAGGCCAACUCAUGGCCGGUAACUCUACUAUCUACCUGAAUGGCCUGGUCCAGUGGCUCCUCCGGUAG